Molecule: long non-coding RNA, 1238 nt
Organism: Mustela lutreola (European mink)
Lineage: Eukaryota; Metazoa; Chordata; Mammalia; Carnivora; Mustelidae
Exons: 2
Source: RefSeq, a predicted model, not a curated record
UUGCGCUGCACGGCAGACCCGCCGGUGUCCGGGUCAAGUAGGGGCAUCUUCCUUUUUCCUCGGACUCCAAAAUGGCUCAGCAAGGCACCGCGAGGAUCCGGUCUCUAUUUAGAAUUCAAUAUUGUGUUCCUGGAUUUUUUUUUAUUUUUUAUUUUUUUGCAACGGGUUCGUUUUAAUUGUUUUUAAAAGCGCUACAUAUUUGAACACUGACUUUUUACGAAAUUUUACGCCACCGAUACGCCGAUCAGGCCCUGAAGGGGCCACGACUGCGCACCGACCGCGGCGUCCGGGUGGCGGCUCUGGGGCGCCAAGGCACUCGGGGUGGGAGGUCAGCAGUCCCAGGCUCACUGCGUGGCCUCUCCCGUGGGGACGGGUGUGUACUUCCUCCCGGGGGCAAAGGGGGCCUGUGUCCCGGUUUCUCAUUUGCUGAGCCGGCUGUAAGGCUCUGUAGACUCGCUCUCACCGGCACACCCGGAACGUGCGCCCUGUCCAGGGGGCGCCCCCAGUCCCGACCGGCCCGGACCGCGCGUUCCUCUCUGGCGUCCCAGGAAUCCGGCCCCGCCAGGCCCGCCGGCUGAGAGCUCUCUCGGCUCAGGAAGCGCCGGCGCCUUUACCCGGGCUUGGACAGGAUUUCUCUUGGAGGGGCCUCUGGGUCGGAGGCAGGUCUGGGCUAAUUUCACUGGUGUGUCUGGAGCUGCGGAGCGUCUCUGGGCCAUACCGGCCGCGCUGCGCCAGCCUUUGUUUCCCGGACCCGACCCCCCCUCCCCCCUCGCCCAGCGCUCACGUGGUCGGGAACUGGAAUGAUCUGUGUUGCCUGGAACCGCUGGCUGGGCUUCCUAGAUCAGCGGACGCCGGAGCUUCCCCCCGGCUCUGAGAAUGCCCGAAAGGACUGGGGAGCUGUCUCCUCCAAGCAGAAAAGUGUGUGUCCACUGCGUGCCUUUAGGCAACACGUAUAAAUGGAAUUGAGGAAUUUGGGUCUUUCCCUGCCCACCUCUGAGCAUCAAGUCAGAACUCAAAAACUGGAAGGUUCUUCAAUAUUUAGACUGAACAUCAAGCAGUGUCCAAAAACAGGCUCGGGCGCCUGGGUGGCUCAAAUGGUUAAGAGUCUGCCUUCAGCCCAGAAUCCUGGAUUCCAGUCCUGCAUCCGGCUCCCUGCGUCUCCCUCUGCCCCUCCUCCUCCCCCUGCUUGUGCGCUCUCUCUCUCUCUGACAAAUAAAUAAACGACAUCUAAAAAAUAA